This 781-nucleotide long non-coding RNA is filed under the name Fukomys damarensis (Damara mole-rat). Its description in RNAcentral is "lncRNA (ENSFDAG00000022919.1)". Lineage: Eukaryota; Metazoa; Chordata; Mammalia; Rodentia; Bathyergidae. The record is from RNAcentral.
AUGACUUGCAGCCAUGGCGAUUGCUCGGAAGAGGAUGCAGAGCGGACAGAAGUAGCUAGAACUGAGCCCUGCUCUUCCACAGAACUAAGGGGCUUUGUUGCCCAGGGAAGACAAGAAACCAAGAGCCUGAGGCCCAGGACUCGAGAGCAGGUGGACAGAAGCCGGCCCAGAGCCAUUGUCCUGUGCACUAGGCUCCCUCUGCAUCACUCUGCGGGGCUGAUGACACCAACCGGGCCUCUCCUUGUCACAGGAAACUGUCCCCUUGCCCCUCAACAAAAUGAGACAGAAAAAGACAGAAACAGAGAUGGAGACAUAGCAUGCUGGGAACCUGUGCUCAUUUCAUGCCACGGCAUGCAGACCUUUGAGGAGCAGAAUCCUUGUAAGUUUCACCUGUGGGAGCACAAGACCGCAAGCAACCAAGCAAAUAAGCAAGCAAGCAAGAAAAAAGAAAGAAAACAAGAAAAAAAAAAAUCCCUGCCCAGAACUUUGAAUCUAAAGCAUUUAAACCAUUUGGAAAACAACAUCACAUUUGCAGUAUUGUAUUAAUUCCAGUUAGUAAAUUAAAAAAAAUAUAUAUAUAUAUUCUCCCCAGUGGUAACGGUGUAGUAACUAAAGAUGAGCAGGCUGGGCUGCGGUGCAGCUCGGGGAGACUGCUUGCCUCCCAUGCCCAAGUCCCUGGUUUCCAUUCCUAGCAUGGAAUGAAUAAAUAAAAUACAUUUUUAAAAAUUAGCAAGUGUAUUCAUGAGGUGAACACAGUGCUGACUGUGGCUACUGUGAAGAG